UUGCUGACGAGUGGCGGACGGGUGAGUAAUGUAUAGUUAAUGUGCCCCUUAGAGAGGGAUAACAGUUGGAAACGACUGCUAAUACCUCAUACUCCUUCUUUUUUAAUAAGAGUUGGGAAAUCUUUUUGGCUAAGGGAUCGGACUAUAUGGUAUCAGUUAGUUGGUGAGGUAAUGGCUCACCAAGACAAUGACACCUAGCUGGUCUGAGAGGAUGAUCAGCCACACUGGAACUGAGACACGGUCCAGACUCC
RNAcentral lists this ribosomal RNA (251 nucleotides) under uncultured bacterium. Its description in RNAcentral is "partial 16S ribosomal RNA". It matches the Rfam family "Bacterial small subunit ribosomal RNA", at positions 85 to 339 of the family's 1533-position model. The record is from RNAcentral.